RNAcentral lists this transfer RNA (74 nucleotides) under Acidobacteriota bacterium. RNAcentral's name for it is "Acidobacteria bacterium tRNA-Ile". Lineage: Bacteria; Pseudomonadati; Acidobacteriota. RNAcentral also lists the same sequence under 1 other name. The record is from RNAcentral.
CCGAGCGUCGUCCAACGGCAGGGCUCGCGGCCGAUUACCGCGGUAUCGGGGUUCAAGUCCUCGCGCUCGGACCA